AGAUUGAACGCUGGCGGCAGGCCUAACACAUGCAAGUCGAGCGGUAGAGAGGUGCUUGCACCUCUUGAGAGCGGCGGACGGGUGAGUAAUGCCUAGGAAUCUGCCUAGUGGUGGGGGAUAACGUUCGGAAACGGACGCUAAUACCGCAUACGUCCUACGGGAGAAAGCGGGGGACCUUCGGGCCUCGCGCCAUUAGAUGAGCCUAGGUCGGAUUAGCUAGUUGGUGAGGUAAUGGCUCACCAAGGCGACGAUCCGUAACUGGUCUGAGAGGAUGAUCAGUCACACUGGAACUGAGACACGGUCCAGACUCCUACGGGAGGCAGCAGUGGGGAAUAUUGGACAAUGGGCGAAAGCCUGAUCCAGCCAUGCCGCGUGUGUGAAGAAGGUCUUCGGAUUGUAAAGCACUUUAAGUUGGAGGAAGGUUGUAACUUAAUACGUUGCAACUUUGACGUACGACAGAAUAAGCACCGGCUAACUUCGUGCCAGCAGCCG
RNAcentral lists this ribosomal RNA (492 nucleotides) under uncultured soil bacterium. RNAcentral describes it as "bacterial SSU rRNA". It matches the Rfam family "Bacterial small subunit ribosomal RNA", at positions 26 to 517 of the family's 1533-position model. The record is from RNAcentral.